CCUACGGGUGGCAGCAGUGAGGAAUAUUGGUCAAUGGCCGGAAGGCUGAACCAGCCAUGCCGCGUGAAGGUCAGUGCCCUAUGGGCGUUAAACUUCUUUUGUGCGGGAGCAAUAAUGGUCACGUGUGGCCAGACGAGAGUACCGUACGAAUAAGCAUCGGCUAACUCCGUGCCAGCAGCCGCGGUAAUACGGGGGAUGCAAGCGUUAUCCGGAUUUAUUGGGUUUAAAGGGUGCGUAGGCUGUGAGGUAAGUCAGCGGUGAAAUGCCCCCGCUCAACGGGGUGAAGUGCCAUUGAUACUGCCUGGCUGGAAUGCGGAUGCGGUGGGAGGAAGGUGUGGUGUAGCGGUGAAAUGCAUAGAUAUCACACAGAACACCGAUUGCGAAGGCAUCUCACGAAGCCGCGAUUGACGCUGAUGCACGAAAGCGUGGGUAUCAAACAGGAUUAGAUACCCGAGUAGUC
RNAcentral lists this ribosomal RNA (460 nucleotides) under uncultured bacterium. Its description in RNAcentral is "partial 16S ribosomal RNA". It matches the Rfam family "Bacterial small subunit ribosomal RNA", at positions 338 to 795 of the family's 1533-position model. The record is from RNAcentral.